This is a non-coding RNA of Pelobates cultripes (western spadefoot toad), 262 nucleotides long. Lineage: Eukaryota; Metazoa; Chordata; Amphibia; Anura; Pelobatidae. The record is from the annotation of a GenBank genome assembly.
UGUUGACAUUAUAGCUGCGCAGGCACUUUGUUGACUCUAGAGAACCUCGGGCCAAUCGCACAUCCCCACGACGGCGACUUUGAAUUCGGAUGUCAUCCAUAUGAACUUUCGGUGCCAGUUUCUGCACCUACCAUAGUGACCACGGGUAACGGGGAAUCAGGGUUCCAUUCCAUACAGGGACCCUGAGAAAUGGCUACCACAUGCAAGGAAGGCAGCAGGCACGCAAAUGACCCACUCCUGACGCGGGAAGGUAGUGACGACA